Molecule: ribosomal RNA, 277 nt
Filed under: uncultured bacterium
Lineage: Bacteria
Description: partial 16S ribosomal RNA
Rfam family: Bacterial small subunit ribosomal RNA
Source: RNAcentral
AAUCAACGCUGGCGGCGCGCCUAACACAUGCAAGUCGAACGAGAACGGUCUUCCGCUUUUAGCAAUAAGAGCGGGGGCCUAGUACAGUGGCGAACGGGUGAGUAACACGUGGGUAAUCUACCCUCAAGUGGGGGAUAACCCGGGGAAACCUGGGCUAAUACCGCAUAAUAUCCGCAAGGAUCAAAGGAGCAAUUCGCUCGAGGAUGAGCCCGCGGCCGAUUAGCUAGUUGGCGGGGUAACGGCCCACCAAGGCUCUGAUCGGUAGCCGGUCUGAGAG